RNAcentral lists this ribosomal RNA (429 nucleotides) under uncultured bacterium. RNAcentral describes it as "bacterial SSU rRNA". It matches the Rfam family "Bacterial small subunit ribosomal RNA", at positions 355 to 775 of the family's 1533-position model. The record is from RNAcentral.
UAGGGGAUACUGCGCAAUGGGGGCAACCCUGACGCAGCAACGCCGCGUGAGUGAGGAAGGUUUUCGGACCGUAAAGCUCUGUCGAGCGGGAAGAAAUGCAUGGUGGCUAAUAUCCAUCAUGCUUGACGGUACCGCUAAAGGAAGCACCGGCUAACUCCGUGCCAGCAGCCGCGGUAAUACGGGGGGUGCGAGCGUUGUUCGGAAUUAUUGGGCGUAAAGAGCGUGUAGGCGGCCGAAUAAGUCAGAUGUGAAAUCCCUGGGCUUAACCCAGGACGUGCAUUUGAAACUAUUCGGCUAGAGUAGGGGAGAGGAAAGUGGAAUUCCUGGUGUAGAGGUGAAAUUCGUAGAUAUCAGGAGGAACACCGGUGGCGAAGGCGACUUUCUGGCCCUAUACUGACGCUGAGACGCGAGAGCGUGGGUAGCAAACAG